AUUGAACGCUGGCGGCGUGCCUAACACAUGCAAGUCGAGCGGUAACAGGUGUAGCAAUACAUGCUGACGAGCGGCGAACGGGUGAGUAAUGCUUCGGAAUCUACCUUAUGGUGGGGAAUAACUAGCCGAAAGGUUAGCUAAUACCGCAUACGUCCUACGGGAGAAAGCAGGGAUCGCAAGACCUUGCGCCAAAAGAUGAGCCGAAGUCGGAUUAGCUAGUUGGUAGGGUAACGGCCUACCAAGGCGACGAUCCGUAGCUGGUCUGAGAGGACGACCGGCCACACUGGGACUGAGACACGGCCCAGACUCCUACGGGAGGCAGCAGUGGGGAAUAUUGGACAAUGGGGGAAACCCUGAUCCAGCGACGCCGCGUGUGUGAAGAAGGCCUGCGGGUUGUAAAGCACUUUUAGUGGGGAUGAAAUGUGCAGGGUUAAUACCUCUGCAUUUUGACCUAACCCACAGAAAAAGCACCGGCUAACUCUGUGCCAGCAGCCGCCGCUG
This 501-nucleotide ribosomal RNA is filed under the name uncultured bacterium. RNAcentral describes it as "partial 16S ribosomal RNA". It matches the Rfam family "Bacterial small subunit ribosomal RNA", at positions 30 to 523 of the family's 1533-position model. The record is from RNAcentral.